AACUUCGGCCCCUGCUGGCCGGUCCGCCUUCUUGGUGUGUACUUGCUCAGCGGGGGCUUACCUCCUGGUGAGCGGCGAUGUCCUUUACUGGGUGUCGUCGGGAACCAGGACAUUUACUUUGAAAAAAUUAGAGUGUUCAAAGCAGGCCUACGCCCGAAUACAUUAGCAUGGAAUAAUAAAAUAGGACGCGCGUUCCCAUUUUGUUGGUUUCUGAGAUCGCCGUAAUGAUUAAUAGGGAUAGUUGGGGGCAUUUGUAUUCCGUCGUCAGAGGUGAAAUUCUUGGAUUGCCGGAAGACAAACUACUGCGAAAGCAUUUGCCAAGGAUGUUUUCAUUGAUCAAGAACGAAGGAAGGGGGAUCGAAAACGAUCAGAUACCGUUGUAGUCUCUUCUGUAAACUAUGCCAAUUGGGGAUUGGUACAGGAUUUUUAAUGACUGUAUCAGCACCCGAAGAGAAAUCUUUAAAUGAGGUUCGGGGGGGAGUAUGGUCGCAAGGCUGAAACUUAAAGG
RNAcentral lists this ribosomal RNA (508 nucleotides) under uncultured eukaryote. Its description in RNAcentral is "SSU rRNA". It matches the Rfam family "Eukaryotic small subunit ribosomal RNA", at positions 637 to 1150 of the family's 1831-position model. The record is from RNAcentral.